This 497-nucleotide ribosomal RNA is filed under the name uncultured bacterium. RNAcentral describes it as "partial 16S ribosomal RNA". It matches the Rfam family "Bacterial small subunit ribosomal RNA", at positions 28 to 507 of the family's 1533-position model. The record is from RNAcentral.
GAUGAACGCUGGCGGCGUGCCUAAUACAUGCAAGUCGAGCGAACAGACGAGGAGCUUGCUCCUCUGACGUUAGCGGCGGACGGGUGAGUAACACGUGGUUAACCUACCUAUAAGACUGGGAUAACUUCGGGAAACCGGUGCUAAUACCGGAUAAUAUAUUCAACCUCAUGGUUCAAUAGUGAAAGACGGUUUUGCUGUCACUUAUAGAUGGAUCCGCGCCGCAUUAGCUAGUUGGUAAGGUAACGGCUUACCAAGGCGACGAUGCGUAGCCGACCUGAGAGGGUGUUGGCCGACACAGGAGCUGAGACACGGCCCAGACUCCUACGGGAGGCAGCAGUAGGGAAUCUUCCGCGAUGUGGGAAAGCCUGACGGAGCAACGCCGCGUGAGUGAUGAAGGUCUUCGGAUCGUAAAACUCUGUUAUUAGGGAAGAACAAAUGUGUAAGUAACUAUGCACGUCUUGACGGUACCUAAUGAGAAAGCCACGGCUAACUACGUG